Molecule: non-coding RNA, 86 nt
Organism: Phoenix dactylifera (date palm)
Lineage: Eukaryota; Viridiplantae; Streptophyta; Magnoliopsida; Arecales; Arecaceae
Source: RefSeq, a predicted model, not a curated record
GGGCAAUGAUGACAGCAGCGCCUUCUGUGAUGGUAGGGCAAAUCAUGACAGUCUCAUUAUGGGAUGACAUGAGCGCUCCUGAGCUC